CUAACGGCGUUUAUGGGGCAGAGUUACAACGUGAUUACUCACCCGUCCGCCACUCGUUGGCGGACCAAAAUCUAUCAGGUGCAAGCACCAUCAAUCAAUUGGGCCAACGCGUUCGACUUGCAUGUAUUAGGCACACCGCCGGCGUUCAUCCUGAGCCAUGAUCAAACUCUA
This 171-nucleotide ribosomal RNA is filed under the name Limosilactobacillus fermentum. RNAcentral's name for it is "Lactobacillus fermentum partial 16S ribosomal RNA". Lineage: Bacteria; Bacillati; Bacillota; Bacilli; Lactobacillales; Lactobacillaceae. The record is from RNAcentral.